CCCACCGCAGAGACGAAUUUCUCAAUCUGCUGCUAUGUUUUACUUUGGAUUGCAGUAGAAUUGCAAAUCUGUUAAAAAAAUCUAUGUGAAUCACGUUGGCUGCACAUAUAUCUAGAGAUUGCCCGAACUUUGUGAAAAAAUUGCGAAAAUUAACCAAUGCUUAAGCUCCACAGAAAGUUGAACGCUGAAAGAUGUCAAUGCAUAUUUUGUGAUAACAUUGUAGAGCUACUAGGGAUUUAACAUGACGCAACCAAUUCAGUCUAAGCAUAUGUAAUUAUAUAGUUGAUGCAAGAAAUCUGAUUUGUUACCAUACUUUUAAUUCCAUGCAUGAUCUGGUUUACAAAUGAGAUUAAGUUGCCAUUGUGUGCUUCAGAUCAGUAUGUUACUAGAAACAUUAUCUUUUGUUGAAGAUGAGGGUGUUGGAUGGGGCUGCCGCAUGCCAGCAGCCAGUACAUGCUGACGGCGAGGCGAGGCAGCACGCGACUUUCCUCCGCUCCAUCUCCUUCACUGGAUCUGUCCACCAGCCCCCUACCUGGCUCCGCGCCAUCUGGGCAUUGCACAACCUAUUGACGUGGCUGUAAACGUGGCUGCAGACCAGACUGCAUCCUCGUGGCUGUUGGAUGCUGGCUAGGGGGCACUCUCCUUGCUCGGCUGUGAAGCAGCCGGACAUGGACGCUGCUGUGGGAAACCUCCACUCGUCGGAUCUGGAGGCUGGGUGCUACCCAUCCAAGGCUUGCGUGAGGUUGAGCUGUAUCCCCACAAGAUCGACAAUGGCGACCUUGCUGCUGCUGUCCAGGACCUCGUCGAUAUCUCCAGCCAAAGGUGCAGCACAUAGACAACGGUGACCAUGUCGGAGUUCUGGAGCCUCUUCACUUACAUCUUCAGUGCCACCGACAUAUACUUUGCUGUUGCAAUUGUCUGAACUCCACAGAGCAGGUAUGCUUGAGAAUAUACACACUAUCUGCUAUAAUGCGAUUGGUGAUCCUUCAGUAAAGGUGCAGCACAUAGACAACGCCGACCAUGUUGGAGUUCCGGAGCCUCUUCACUUACAACAUAUGCUUUGCUGUUGCAACUGUAUGAACUGCACAUAAGCAGGUUCCGCUCUGUCUGGUGCAGAUCAUGAUUUCUAGUUCAUACUAAGCUGCCUUUUACCACCUGUGCCUACAGGUUCCGCUCUGUCUGGUGCAGUGGACGGUGACGCGUCUUCGCCUGGUCCACCUACGACUGGCUAGCUAUGUGGACGGAGAUGUGGAGCUGGCCCGGAGGCAGCAGUGGCCUUGCUCUACCUUUUGGUGGUGGUAUACAGGUUGUUCUGCUCCGGCUUUGCACGGCUCUGACGCUGGCUGGACAUGCGGUGCGUGUCUGCAGGCCUCGUCGCUUAGCUUACCGGAGGAUAUACGGCGUGGCUUGGCUCCGGUGCCAUUGCCGCCGCCGCUGCUGAAGUUUAAUGUUUGGAGCAGUGUUGUAAAAUUGGGUGGAGUUGGCUUCUUUUGCACCACAUGUGUCAUCACAUGUGUUUGAGUAAGCAGUGCUGUAGUCGAAUCGUAUUUGUCUCUAGCUGCUAGAGACAUUAUUUUUUUCGAUCUGCUGUGUGUUGUAAAUGGGGAAAAAAUAGAGAAGCCUGUAACCAUUUCGUAAACUCUCCCUUGGUUUGGAAAUAAGUGAGUUGUAAUUGUCUACCAUUUCGUAAAUCCCUUAUUUG
RNA transcript from Lolium rigidum, 1702 nucleotides. RefSeq lists it as uncharacterized. NCBI's taxonomy places the organism in Eukaryota, Viridiplantae, Streptophyta, Magnoliopsida, Poales, Poaceae. The record is from RefSeq and is a predicted model, not a curated record. The transcript is spliced from 8 exons.